ACGGAAGGCAGCAGUGGGGAAUAUUGCACAAUGGGCGCAAGCCUGAUGCAGCAACGCCGCGUGAGGGAUGACGGUUUUCGGAUUGUAAACCUCUGUUCUUAGUGACGAAAAAUGACGGUAGCUAAGCAGCAAGCCACGGCUAACUACGUGCCAGCAGCCGCGGUAAUACGUAGGUGGCGAGCGUUAUCCGGAAUUACUGGGUGUAAAGGGAGCGCAGGCGGGAUAUCAAGUCAGCGGUGAAAUUUAUGGGCUCAACCCGUAAACUGCCGUUGAAACUGUUAUUCUUGAGUGGAGUAGAGGCAGGCGGAAUUCCGAGUGUAGCGGUGAAAUGCGUAGAUAUUCGGAGGAACACCAGUGGCGAAGGCGGCCUGCUGGGCUCUAACUGACGCUGAGGCUCGAAAGUGUGGGGAGCAAACAGGAUUAGAUACCCUGGUA
RNAcentral lists this ribosomal RNA (435 nucleotides) under uncultured Oscillospiraceae bacterium. RNAcentral describes it as "partial 16S ribosomal RNA". It matches the Rfam family "Bacterial small subunit ribosomal RNA", at positions 341 to 792 of the family's 1533-position model. Lineage: Bacteria; Bacillati; Bacillota; Clostridia; Eubacteriales; Oscillospiraceae. The record is from RNAcentral.